RNAcentral lists this ribosomal RNA (306 nucleotides) under uncultured bacterium. RNAcentral describes it as "partial 16S ribosomal RNA". It matches the Rfam family "Bacterial small subunit ribosomal RNA", at positions 507 to 809 of the family's 1533-position model. The record is from RNAcentral.
GACAGCAGCCGCCGCGGUAAAACGUAGGUGGCGAGCGUUGUCCGGAAUUAUUGGGCGUAAAGGGAGCGCAGGCGGACAUAUAAGUCCAUCUUAAAAAUGCGGGGCUCAACCCCGUGAGGGGAUGGAAACUGUAUGCCUUGAGUGCAGGAGAGGAAAGCGGAAUUCCCAGUGUAGCGGUGAAAUGCGUAGAUAUUGGGAGGAACACCAGUGGCGAAGGCGGCUUUCUGGACUGUAACUGACGCUGAGGCUCGAGAGCCAGGGGAGCGAACGGGAUUAGAUACCCCUGUAGUCCCUGUCUCUUAUACA